This 200-nucleotide ribosomal RNA is filed under the name uncultured bacterium. Its description in RNAcentral is "partial 16S ribosomal RNA". It matches the Rfam family "Bacterial small subunit ribosomal RNA", at positions 8 to 213 of the family's 1533-position model. The record is from RNAcentral.
AGAGUUUGAUCAUGGCUCAGGACGAACGCUGGCGGCGUGCCUAAUACAUGCAAGUCGAGCGAGUCCCUUCGGGGGCUAGCGGCGGACGGGUGAGUAACACGUAGGCAACCUGCCUGUAAGAUCGGGAUAACAUAGGGAAACUUAUGCUAAUACCGGAUAGGGUUUUGGACCGCAUGGUCCGAAACGGAAAGAUGGCGCAA